RNAcentral lists this long non-coding RNA (248 nucleotides) under Manihot esculenta (cassava). RNAcentral's name for it is "long non-coding RNA (MESC_LNC001128)". The record is from RNAcentral. Lineage: Eukaryota; Viridiplantae; Streptophyta; Magnoliopsida; Malpighiales; Euphorbiaceae.
AUGCAUCACAUCACAAACAAAUCACCUUAAGGAUGAACUUGUCACCAAUAGCCCAUUACACAUUCCAAUAGUGCCAGGGGCGUAGAAUGGGCCUCACUGGUCUUUCUCUUACAUUAACAUAACAUUCCAAUAUGUCAGGGGCGUAGAAUGGGCCUCACUGGUCUUUCAUACCGUAUCAUCACUAUCUCAUAUCAUAUCAUAUUAUAGUGCGGCUAAAGGAUCAUCCAACAUUCAUCCACAUCAACAAC